AGCUUUGCACAGUGGCAGUAUCGUAGCCAAUGAGGUUUAUCCAAGGCGCAAUUACUGCUAAUUGUAUCUAUUAUUACCUGCAUCUAUUACUAUUGGGUUGGCCAAAAGUUUGUUCAGUUUUAAGUAAAAAUAAAAGAUUCAUUUUU
Hippopotamus amphibius kiboko is the source of this 146-nucleotide small nuclear RNA. RefSeq annotates it as U4 spliceosomal RNA. The record is from RefSeq and is a predicted model, not a curated record. NCBI's taxonomy places the organism in Eukaryota, Metazoa, Chordata, Mammalia, Artiodactyla, Hippopotamidae. The transcript has a single exon.